Molecule: ribosomal RNA, 348 nt
Filed under: uncultured bacterium
Lineage: Bacteria
Description: partial 16S ribosomal RNA
Rfam family: Bacterial small subunit ribosomal RNA
Source: RNAcentral
CCUACGGGUGGCAGCAGUGGGGGAUAUUGCACAAUGGGGGAAACCCUGAUGCAGCGACGCCGCGUGCGGGAAGACGGUCCUCUGGAUUGUAAACCACUGUCACCAGGGACGAAGAUGACGGGACCGGGGGAGGAAGCGCCGGCUAACUACGUGCCAGCAGCCGCGGUAAUAGGUAGGGAGCGAGGGUUGUCCGGAAUUACUGGGGGUAAAGGGAGCGGAGGCGGGGAUGCAAGUGGGGUGUCAAAACUACCGGCGCAACUGGUAGUCGCACUCCAAACUGCAGCUCUGGAGGGAAGGAGAGGCAGGCGGUCUUCCUCGUGUAGCGGUGACAUGCGUAGAUCUUAGGCG